GGGUGGGGGUGGGGGCGGCUAAGCUAAGCUAAGCUAAGUUCGGCGGGGCGCGUUCUACUACGGCCCCAGUCGGGGCGGCCGUCGGCCCUCGCCGUACAAGCACGGCUGCGUCUGCCGCCCGUGCCACGAGACGACGUAGACGCCGCAGAGGUACGUCGGGUUGGGCCGGUUGUACACGCGGGCGACGGAGGCCCGCGCGCAGCUGUAGUGGCUCCCGCAGGGCGCGUUGCGGCGGCAGCAGAUGACGGGGCUGACGAAGAGGAUGGAGGUCGGCGGCGCGAGGACCGAGGCGCGGCCGGGCCUCAGGGGGCUCGAGGACGUCUAGGAGGAGGCGGCGGAGUUCGUGGGCGAGCGGGCGGAGUUCCAGAGCGAGAGGCCGCGGCUCAAGCAGAAGAGGCUCGGGGUGAGGUUCGCGGAGGCGGAGUUCGAGGCGGAGGCGGCGCUCCAGGAGUUGCCGUAGCAGGAGCUCGUCUGGGUGAGGCAGCUCAAGCAGCAGGUGCUGGCGGAGACGCUGAGGACGCGGGCGCGGGUCCGGUUGGGACUGGUCACCCAGCGGCAGCAGGUCGAGGCGGUCGUGCAGGGCGUGGCGGCGUGGAAGGAGAUGGAGCUCGUCGAGGAGUAGUUCGUACCGGUCCGGCGUGAGCGGUAGGCGCAGCGGAGCCGAGGGCCGCCGGAGCUGAAGAAGAAGCCGAGCGCGAGCGUGCGACGGGCGGAGCAGCUGAAGGAACCAUGUCAGCGAGGGUAGGUCUGGUUGUGUCGGUUCGUCGAGCAGAGAGUACUGUGUUUCUCAAAAUAGAUAUUGAUGUUCAUGUGAAAGAGCCAGCUCUAGACGGGGUAUACGGCACUCCUGGACUAACGGGAGUCGGGGUUCCGCAGGGCACUAGAACCACCUGAUCCGGGCGAGCAGGAGACGUGGUUCCAGUGGUUACGGUAACGCGACGAACUGGGCGAGUGAGACGCACACGUGGUAGACCUCCUCUUCUUCAUGUCCCACAUGUUGAAGUUCCGGCGAGACUGAUCGUUCGUCGAGCACGUCAUGUACCACGAACUAUAACUCGGUCUCAGUGGACUCUAGUGGUAGCUACCUAGAGCCAUGGUCGACCGUAUACGCGUCCAGCGGGCGUACAGACUAAAACCCUUUUUACUAUGACACAAAUGUCAUGCUUGAGUAGAACCCGUGGCAGACUCGGGACCCCUAGAACGGGAACCCAUACUAGAGAUACCGCGGUUAUACUUACUACUACUAUACCUGUUCCGAAAUAAUGCGGUCUUAAACGGACUUCAGUAAGACCAGUUCUUCUCGAUACUCUUCUCCGCUGCGUGUGCGUCUACCUUCGACUUCUCCGACGGACAACUCCUUCUGGAACCCUUGUUCCGGUUUCCACUCCUUCUCGCCUCCCUUCUACUCAUAUGUUUAAAGGAACUACUCAACCUCGCACUAGGUCUUUAUUCCAAAUGCUAUUUAGACAUGUUCUUGCUGCUGAUGUCCAGUCUUUACCGUAGGUGCUAACCACUGCUACAGGGAUGACACGGUUAACUCCUCAACUAACUCCUGGAUUGGGAACCACUACUACUCCUCCUUCUGCCACGUCUACGACCAUACCACCUUACUCGCUCGUACAGAUGGAUGUGGUAACCAGUACUGACAAGUACGGGUGACGUCCAGUAUCCAGACUGACGUAGACAAAUUAAGUAUAUUCAAAACAAAAAGAAAUGACGAUAUUCGAUACUUACAGCCUCCACAACGAAUUUUCCAGAUUUAAAACCUAAAGAGACAAACAACUACAGCUGUAACAAAUUUUGGUAUAGAGCAUAGAACCACAUUGUUAUUACAGAGUUCAAUUUAUGUAAAGGAUAGUACAGUAUACAAACACCUUACCAAAAGUCAACAGUAAAAACUAACCAGUGUUAUAGUACCUCACCUACGUUCUAAACUAAGAACUUUGUACACAAAUACAACGACUCACUAAUGACUAAUAACCUACAGAAAGUCCCUAAUCGACUUACCAGAAAGGAUCUUACCAGUUGACUCUCGAAAAGGGGAGAACGAGACAGGGUUAACAUAGAUACUCACGUCGACUUAUCGACAACACUAAAACAACUCCGACGUAAUGUCCAGAGUGACUUUUAACAAGUCGCCUACCACACGAGACGUCGGGAGACGACCAAACAUUACGUACCUGAGUGGGCACUGAUCAAAUCUUCAAUUUGUUGAACCAUUCUACCAAUACGCAUGUUGCGUACAAACGAAAGGAAAAGAAAAGUCAUCUCUUACCGUCUCGACAAACAUCAUAUUAAACAGUUAACCCUACAAAUCUUGUACUUACGUGGUGUGAUACAGAGCACAGAAACACGGUUUUGUCGGGUCACUUGACUAAACUUUACUACGUCACACACAUCAACGU
This 2405-nucleotide ribosomal RNA is filed under the name Triticum aestivum (bread wheat). Its description in RNAcentral is "partial small subunit ribosomal RNA". The record is from RNAcentral. Lineage: Eukaryota; Viridiplantae; Streptophyta; Magnoliopsida; Poales; Poaceae.